This 513-nucleotide ribosomal RNA is filed under the name uncultured bacterium. RNAcentral describes it as "bacterial SSU rRNA". It matches the Rfam family "Bacterial small subunit ribosomal RNA", at positions 8 to 518 of the family's 1533-position model. The record is from RNAcentral.
AGAGUUGAUCCUGGCUUAGGACGAACGCUGGCGGCGUGCUUAACACAUGCAAGUCGAACGGAACACCCUUGACAGAGGUUUCGGCCAAUGAAGAGGAAUGUUUAGUGGCGGACUGGUGAGUAACGCGUGAGGAACCUGCCUUUCAGAGGGGGACAACAGUUGGAAACGACUGCUAAUACCGCAUGAAGCAGCGAGGGGACAUCCCCUUGCUGUCAAAGAUUUAUCGCUGAAAGAUGGCCUCGCGUCUGAUUAGCUAGUUGGUGGGGUAACGGCUCACCAAGGCGACGAUCAGUAGCCGGACUGAGAGGUUGACCGGCCACAUUGGGACUGAGAUACGGCCCAGACUCCUACGGGAGGCAGCAGUGGGGAAUAUUGGGCAAUGGAACCGCAAGUCUGACCCAGCAACGCCGCGUGAAGGAAGAAGGCUUUCGGGUUGUAAACUUCUUUUAACAGGGAAGAGAAGAAGACGGUACCUGUUGAAUAAGCCACGGCUAACUACGUGCCAGCCGCAGC